Molecule: ribosomal RNA, 511 nt
Filed under: Lactiplantibacillus plantarum
Lineage: Bacteria; Bacillati; Bacillota; Bacilli; Lactobacillales; Lactobacillaceae
Description: bacterial SSU rRNA
Rfam family: Bacterial small subunit ribosomal RNA
Source: RNAcentral
UGCUAAUACCGCAUAACAACUUGGACCGCAUGGUCCGAGCUUGAAAGAUGGCUUCGGCUAUCACUUUUGGAUGGUCCCGCGGCGUAUUAGCUAGAUGGUGGGGUAACGGCUCACCAUGGCAAUGAUACGUAGCCGACCUGAGAGGGUAAUCGGCCACAUUGGGACUGAGACACGGCCCAAACUCCUACGGGAGGCAGCAGUAGGGAAUCUUCCACAAUGGACGAAAGUCUGAUGGAGCAACGCCGCGUGAGUGAAGAAGGGUUUCGGCUCGUAAAACUCUGUUGUUAAAGAAGAACAUAUCUGAGAGUAACUGUUCAGGUAUUGACGGUAUUUAACCAGAAAGCCACGGCUAACUACGUGCCAGCAGCCGCGGUAAUACGUAGGUGGCAAGCGUUGUCCGGAUUUAUUGGGCGUAAAGCGAGCGCAGGCGGUUUUUUAAUUCUGAUGUGAAAGCCUUCGGCUCAACCGAAGAAGUGCAUCGGAAACUGGGAAACUUGAGUGCAGAAGAGGA